GGGCCCGCACAAGCGGUGGAGCAUGUGGUUUAAUUCGAUGCAACGCGAAGAACCUUACCAAGACUUGACAUAUCGCGAAUUUUUUUGAAAGAAAAAAGUGCCUUCGGGAAUGCGAAUACAGGUGGUGCAUGGCUGUCGUCAGCUCGUGCCGUGAGGUGUUGGGUUAAGUCCCGUAACGAGCGCAACCCUUAUUUUUAAUUGCUAAUUUUUUAGGUUUUUAAAGAGACUGCCAGUAACAAACUGGAGGAAGGUGAGGAUGACGUCAAGUCAGUAUGCCCCUUAUGUUUUGGGCUACACACGUGCUACAAUGGCUAGGACAAAGAGUUGCAAGUUUGUACACACCGCCCG
This 348-nucleotide ribosomal RNA is filed under the name uncultured bacterium. RNAcentral describes it as "partial 16S ribosomal RNA". It matches the Rfam family "Bacterial small subunit ribosomal RNA", at positions 917 to 1271 of the family's 1533-position model. The record is from RNAcentral.